AGAGUGAACGCUGGCGGCAGGCCUAACACAUGCAAGUCGAACGAACACUUCGGUGUUAGUGGCGCACGGGUGCGUAACGCGUGGGAAUCUGCCCUUGGGUUCGGAAUAACAGUUGGAAACGACUGCUAAUACCGGAUGAUAUCGAAAGAUCAAAGAUUUAUCGCCCAGGGAUGAGCCCGCGUAGGAUUAGCUAGUUGGUGAGGUAAGGGCUCACCAAGGCGACGAUCCUUAGCUGGUCUGAGAGGAUGAUCAGCCACACCGGGACUGAGACACGGCCCAGACUCCUACGGGAGCAGCAGUAGGAAUAGUGGACAAGUGGGCGCAAGCCUGAUCCAGCAAUCGCCGCGUGAGUGAUGAAGGCCGUUAGGGUUAGUAAAGCUUCCUUUUACCCGAGAU
This 396-nucleotide ribosomal RNA is filed under the name uncultured soil bacterium. RNAcentral describes it as "bacterial SSU rRNA". It matches the Rfam family "Bacterial small subunit ribosomal RNA", at positions 26 to 448 of the family's 1533-position model. The record is from RNAcentral.